AUUGGAAACUGGGAGACUUGAGUGCAGAAGAGGACAGUGGAACUCCAUGUGUAGCGGUGAAAUGCGUAGAUAUAUGGAAGAACACCAGUGGCGAAGGCGGCUGUCUGGUCUGUAACUGACGCUGAGGCUCGAAAGCAUGGGUAGCGAACAGGAUUAGAUACCCUGGUAGUCCAUGCCGUAAACGAUGAUUACUAAGUGUUGGAGGGUUUCCGCCCUUCAGUGCUGCAGCUAACGCAUUAAGUAAUCCGCCUGGGGAGUACGACCGCAAGGUUGAAACUCAAAAGAAUUGACGGGGGCCCGCACAAGCGGUGGAGCAUGUGGUUUAAUUCGAAGCUUACGCGAAGAACCUUACCAGGUCUUGACAUCUUCUGCCAACCUAAGAGAUUAGGCGUUCCCUUCGGGGACAGAAUGACAGGUGGUGCAUGGUUGUCGUCAGCUCGUGUCGUGAGAUGUUGGGUUAAGUCCCGCAACGAGCGCAACCCUUAUUACUAGUUGCCAGCAUUCAGUUGGGCACUCUAGUGAGACUGCCGGUGACAAACCGGAGGAAGGUGGGGACGACGUCAAAUCAUCAUGCCCCUUAUGACCUGGGCUACACACGUGCUACAAUGGAUGGUACAACGAGUCGCGAAACCGCGAGGUUUAGCUAAUCUCUUAAAACCAUUCUCAGUUCGGACUGUAGGCUGCAACUCGCCUACACGAAGUCGGAAUCGCUAGUAAUCGCGGAUCAGCAUGCCGCGGUGAAUACGUUCCCGGGCCUUGUACACACCGCCCGUCACACCAUGAGAGUUUGUAACACCCAAAGCCGGUGGGGUAACCUUUUAGGAGCUAGCCGUCUAAGGUG
Molecule: ribosomal RNA, 841 nt
Filed under: Pediococcus acidilactici
Lineage: Bacteria; Bacillati; Bacillota; Bacilli; Lactobacillales; Lactobacillaceae
Description: bacterial SSU rRNA
Rfam family: Bacterial small subunit ribosomal RNA
Source: RNAcentral